RNAcentral lists this ribosomal RNA (496 nucleotides) under uncultured bacterium. Its description in RNAcentral is "partial 16S ribosomal RNA". It matches the Rfam family "Bacterial small subunit ribosomal RNA", at positions 29 to 507 of the family's 1533-position model. The record is from RNAcentral.
AUGAACGCUGGCGGCGUGCCUCAUACGUGCAAGUCGAGCGAACAGAUGAGGAGCUUGCUCCUCUGACGUUAGCGGCGGACGGGUGAGUAACACGUGGAUAACCUACCUAUAAGACUGGGAUAACUUCGGGAAACCGGAGCUAAUACCGGAUAAUAUAUUGAACCGCAUGGUUCAAUAGUGAAAGACGGUUUUGCUGUCACUUAUAGAUGGAUCCGCGCCGCAUUAGCUAGUUGGUAAGGUAACGGCUUACCAAGGCAACGAUGCGUAGCCGACCUGAGAGGGUGAUCGGCCACACUGGAACUGAGACACGGUCCAGACUCCUACGGGAGGCAGCAGUAGGGAAUCUUCCGCAAUGGGCGAAAGCCUGACGGAGCAACGCCGCGUGAGUGAUGAAGGUCUUCGGAUCGUAAAACUCUGUUAUUAGGGAAGAACAAAUGUGUAAGUAACUAUGCACGUCUUGACGGUACCUAAUCAGAAAGCCACGGCUAACUACGUG